CGAAAAGGGCGUUUGGCGAAUGCCUUGGCAGUAAGAGGCGAUGAAAGACGUGAUACUCUGCGAUAAGCCAUGGGGAGCUGAGAAUAAGCUUUGAUCCAUGGAUUUCUGAAUGGGGCAACCCACCUGAUACUUUGUUAUUAUUGCUCAGCAAUGAGCAGCUAAUAAUGAGGUAAACCAGGUAUUUCUUUGUUGAAUAUAUAGACUUAGAAAAGCAAACCCGGG
This 222-nucleotide ribosomal RNA is filed under the name Chaetoceros neogracilis. RNAcentral describes it as "partial Bacterial large subunit ribosomal RNA". It matches the Rfam family "Bacterial large subunit ribosomal RNA", at positions 1 to 189 of the family's 2925-position model. Lineage: Eukaryota; Bacillariophyta; Thalassiosirophyceae; Chaetocerotales; Chaetocerotaceae. The record is from RNAcentral.